CUCGAUACGUAGCUCUAUGUAAACGGCGAGAAACAAGGAUAGCAUAGUUCUCGCCAAGUUGUCGAUGAAAAUGGAGAGCAAAGAGAUAAAGCAAAAGACACAAGAACAAAGUAGUAUUUUCCGACGUAACCUGGGGAUUAGAAGAGCCUCUAAUUACCACCUGAACGAGUAAAAACUGGUGAUUCUUCUCUCAGUAGCCAUCAGAUCUUGAACGUCUACUAUCCGUGUAGAUAUGCGUAUUGUUG
RNAcentral lists this long non-coding RNA (245 nucleotides) under Spirodela polyrhiza (greater duckweed). Its description in RNAcentral is "long non-coding RNA (SPOL_LNC000485)". Lineage: Eukaryota; Viridiplantae; Streptophyta; Magnoliopsida; Alismatales; Araceae. The record is from RNAcentral.